CUACGGGAGGCUCCAGUGGGGAAUAUUGCACAAUGGGCGCAAGCCUGAUGCAGCCAUGCCGCGUGUAUGAAGAAGGCCUUCGGGUUGUAAAGUACUUUCAGCGGGGAGGAAGGGAGUAAAGUUAAUACCUUUGCUCAUUGACGUUACCCGCAGAAGAAGCACCGGCUAAAUCCGUGCCAGCAGCCGCGGUAAUACGGAGGGUGCAAGCGUUAAUCGGAAUUACUGGGCGUAAAGCGCACGCAGGCGGUUUGUUAAGUCAGAUGUGAAAUCCCCGGGCUCAACCUGGGAACUGCAUCUGAUACUGGCAAGCUUGAGUCUCGUAGAGGGGGGUAGAAUUCCAGGUGUAGCGGUGAAAUGUGUAGAGAUCUGGAGGAAUACCGGUGGCGAAGGCGGCCCCCUGGACGAAGACUGACGCUCAGGUGCGAAAGCGUGGGGAGCAAACAGGAUUAGAUACCCGGGUAGUC
RNAcentral lists this ribosomal RNA (464 nucleotides) under uncultured bacterium. RNAcentral describes it as "partial 16S ribosomal RNA". It matches the Rfam family "Bacterial small subunit ribosomal RNA", at positions 339 to 795 of the family's 1533-position model. The record is from RNAcentral.